AGGGUUUGAUCAUGGCUCAGGACGAACGCUGGCGGUGCGCCUUAUGCAUGCAAGUUGAGCGAAGCUUUUUGGUAGUUUACUACUAGAAAUGACUGAGCGGCGAACGGGUGAGUAACGCGUGAGCAAUCUACCUUAGUUACUGGGAUAGCCCGAGGAAACUCGGAUUAAUACCGGAUAUUCUUAUUUUUUCACAUGAAGUUUUAAGGAAAGGUCAGCCGAACUAAGAUGAGCUCGCGUUCUAUCAGCUAGUUGGUGGGGUAAAAGCCUACCAAGGCUACGACGGAUAGCUGGUCUGAGAGGACGAUCAGCCGCACUGGGACUGAGACACGGCCCAGACUCCUACGGGAGGCUGCAGCAGGGAAUAUUGUGCAAUGAGCGAAAGCUUGACACAGCGACACCGCGUGUGGGAUGACGGUUCUAGGAUUGUAAACCACUUUCAGGAGGGAAGAAAAUGACGGUACCUCCACAAGAAGACCCGGCCAACUAUGUGCCAGCCGCCGCGGUAA
Molecule: ribosomal RNA, 506 nt
Filed under: uncultured bacterium
Lineage: Bacteria
Description: bacterial SSU rRNA
Rfam family: Bacterial small subunit ribosomal RNA
Source: RNAcentral